ACGGAAGGCAGCAGUGAGGAAUAUUGGUCAAUGGACGCAAGUCUGAACCAGCCAUGCCGCGUGCAGGAAUAAAGCCCUAUGGGUCGUAAACUGCUUUUGUGGUGGAGCAAUAAGUCGUACGUGUACGGCGAUGAGAGUACAUCACGAAUAAGCAUCGGCUAACUCCGUGCCAGCAGCCGCGGUAAUACGGAGGAUGCAAGCGUUAUCCGGAUUUAUUGGGUUUAAAGGGUGCGUAGGCUGUGGUCCAAGUCAGGGGUGAAAGCCCGGAGCUCAACUCCGGAACUGCCUUUGAUACUGGAUUGCUGGAAUACGGAUGCCGUGGGAGGAAUGAGUAGUGUAGCGGUGAAAUGCAUAGAUAUUACUCAGAACACCGAUUGCGAAGGCAUCUCACGAAUCCGUCAUUGACGCUGAGGCACGAAAGCGUGGGGAUCAAACAGGAUUAGAUACCCUGGUA
RNAcentral lists this ribosomal RNA (454 nucleotides) under uncultured Rikenellaceae bacterium. Its description in RNAcentral is "partial 16S ribosomal RNA". It matches the Rfam family "Bacterial small subunit ribosomal RNA", at positions 341 to 792 of the family's 1533-position model. The record is from RNAcentral. Lineage: Bacteria; Pseudomonadati; Bacteroidota; Bacteroidia; Bacteroidales; Rikenellaceae.